Molecule: long non-coding RNA, 456 nt
Organism: Hemicordylus capensis (graceful crag lizard)
Lineage: Eukaryota; Metazoa; Chordata; Lepidosauria; Squamata; Cordylidae
Exons: 3
Source: RefSeq, a predicted model, not a curated record
UGAGCACGGGAAAGGCAUACAUCUCUCAACUGACUCACUCACUGCUGAGGGCUUGGGGUCAAUGACCAUUUGGGUGCUCUGAUGGGCAUGAACCUUCAUUUGCUGCCCAACCUGGCCAAUCCCUGACGCUGCCCUGCCUUGGAGUGAAUCAUGAUGUGCACAUUCAGAACAUAAUUCUACUUUCCUAGCAUCAGCACCAGCCUAGAAGUAGGAGGUUCUCUUAUCCAAUGGGCAAAGUGGACAGUUGCCCAUGGCUCGUCACUAUCAGAGACCCACCAGGCUUGAAAAGCUGAAGCUUUUGCAUAUGACUUCCUCCUAUGCUUAUGCAAGUACUGAAAAAGUGUCUUCACCUGAGACUAGGUCGAAGCAGCUGCAUCUAUCGCUGUCGUUCACCAUGCCCUUUAAGAAAUUUGACCACUAGAUGGGGGUAGAGAACCUUAUUUUCUCCAUUAAUAC